UAUCGUAACCACACAACAACUGGCCUCAGCGGACUUACACAACAUUACGUAACAAGCGUCAAUGUUUACUUUUGAUUUUUUACAUGGGACAUGAGCAGCGGUCUCCUGGGGGAAAGUCCUGUGUUUGUUGACCCUCCGACCCGCUCUUUGUGGACUUUCUUGCUUGAUAUACUCAUUAUUAUAUUACGUAACUGUCAUAUCACAGAACUCUUAAUAACGGUCGCUCAAUAUACCACGCCACUUGCUCUGCACGUCUUUCUUUUUUUCCUGGGCUGGUUUUGCAGCAUGACCCGGACGAUGGCCUUAGCCUUGAGUUAUCUCCUCAGAUACAUAAGAACUUCUUUGCAGGUCUAUGUAUAGAAGGCUGAUAUGGGCAACGUCCCAGAUCUCAAAGCGUUGUGCGGACCUGCGAAUCAAACAAGCAUGAUUGGUUUGAUCCAGCUCCUGUUGGAAGGUUUUUGCCGACUGAUACACAGUGAUCAAGAUAUCUAACUUGGCCCACAUGAGGACUGGAGGAGGUCAAGGCAGGUAGCAUGUUCCUAGGGCUUUGACAAAUUGGUGAAAAAUUCAUGGCGGAUGGGAAAACGGCUCAAGUGUGGCUGUCUGUGCGCUGCCGGAGCGCUGGCCCCAGUCCUGUCACUCGCACUGUCCCACAGUAGGAGCACAAACAGCAUAGCACCGGCACAGACAGACAGACAGACAGACGGACAGGAAGGCUCUUGAGUGCUCAGUAUUCAUUAUUUAGUGCAGUAAUGUAGCGAAGAGGAAAUUCAGUUUGUUCGCAAGACUCCAUCUCCAAAUAAAUGCUCAUACAAUAUUA
This is a long non-coding RNA of Sebastes umbrosus (honeycomb rockfish), 820 nucleotides long. RefSeq lists it as uncharacterized. The record is from RefSeq and is a predicted model, not a curated record. Lineage: Eukaryota; Metazoa; Chordata; Actinopteri; Perciformes; Sebastidae. The transcript has 3 exons.